Molecule: transfer RNA, 85 nt
Filed under: Spirochaetaceae bacterium
Lineage: Bacteria; Pseudomonadati; Spirochaetota; Spirochaetia; Spirochaetales; Spirochaetaceae
Description: tRNA-Leu
Rfam family: tRNA
About the family: Transfer RNA (tRNA) molecules are approximately 80 nucleotides in length.
Source: RNAcentral
GCCGGAGUGGUGGAAUUGGUAGACACCGGGGACUUAAAAUCCCCUGGUCAUUGCGACCGUGCCGGUUCGAGUCCGGUCUCCGGCA